RNAcentral lists this ribosomal RNA (497 nucleotides) under uncultured bacterium. RNAcentral's name for it is "partial 16S ribosomal RNA". It matches the Rfam family "Bacterial small subunit ribosomal RNA", at positions 28 to 523 of the family's 1533-position model. The record is from RNAcentral.
GAUGAACGCUGGCGGCGUGCCUAAUACAUGCAAGUCGAGCGAGAAUUUUUCAAAUGACACUUCGGUUGAUUUUGGAAAAGGACAGCGGCGGACGGGUGAGUAACGCGUAGGCAACCUGCCCCUGACAGAGGGAUAGCCAUUGGAAACGAUGAUUAAAACCUCAUAACGCCGAAGGAACACAUGUUUCAUCGGCCAAAGAUUUAUCGGUCAGGGAUGGGCCUGCGUCUGAUUAACUAGUUGGUGAGGUAACGGCUCACCAAGGUGACGAUCAGUAGCCGACCUGAGAGGGGGAUCGGCCACAUUGGGACUGAGACACGGUCCACACGUCUACGGAAGGCAGGAGUAGGGAAUCUUGCACAAUGGGCGAAAGCCUGAUGCAGCAACGCCGCGUGAAGGAUGAAGGCCUUCGGGUUGUAAACUUCUGUUCUUAGGGAAGAAGAAAGUGACGGUACCUAAGGAGAAAGCCCCGGCUAACUACGUGCCAGCCGCCGCGGUAA